Molecule: non-coding RNA, 299 nt
Organism: Poecilia reticulata (guppy)
Lineage: Eukaryota; Metazoa; Chordata; Actinopteri; Cyprinodontiformes; Poeciliidae
Source: RefSeq, a predicted model, not a curated record
CUGGCUCACCUGUUUUAACCUGCUUCACGGGGCUGUGGGAGCUGUUGCAGGCCUGAUCCUGGGCCAUCACCGUCACAUCGUCACGUUGAGGACUCCAGACGGACAGUCGAGAUGUGUCUGAAUGUUCUCUGGGACGCAUGGAGCUACAGAGGAAGCACAAAGAGUUAUCUGAAGGCCUGAUCACCCAGCAGGUUGAGCAGCUGCCUUACAGGCUCUGGGACGGACUGGGGCAGGUCUGCCCCUCCCCGCUGACGCUGACCCUGUAGCUCUCGCCGCAGCGCAGAGACGUGAUGUUGCAG